Molecule: ribosomal RNA, 493 nt
Filed under: uncultured bacterium
Lineage: Bacteria
Description: partial 16S ribosomal RNA
Rfam family: Bacterial small subunit ribosomal RNA
Source: RNAcentral
UGAACGCUGGCGGCGUGCCUAAUGCAUGCACGUAGAACGCUGAAGGAGGAGCUUGCUCUUCUGGAUGAGUUGCGAACGGGUGAGUAACGCGUAGGUAACCUGCCUGGUAGCGGGGGAUAACUAUUGGAAACGAUAGCUAAUACCGCAUGACAACAGUUAUUGCAUGAUAACUGUUUAAAAGGGGCAACUGCUCCACUACCAGAUGGACCUGCAUUGUAUUAGCUAGUUGGUGAGGUAACGGCUCACCAAGGCGACGAUACAUAGCCGACCUGAGAGGGUGAUCGGCCACACUGGGACUGAGACACGGCCCAGACUCCUACGGGAGGCAGCAGUAGGGAAUCUUCGGCAAUGGACGGAAGUCUGACCGAGCAACGCCGCGUGAGUGAGGAAGGUUGUCGGAUCGUAAAGCUCUGUUGUAAGAGAAGAACGAGGGUGAGAGUGGAAAGUUCACACUGUGACGGUAUCUUACCAGAAAGGGACGGCUAACUACGUG